AGUGAACGCUGGCGGUAGGCCUAACACAUGCAAGUCGAACGGCAGCACAGUAAGAGCUUGCUCUUACGGGUGGCGAGUGGCGGACGGGUGAGGAAUACAUCGGAAUCUACUUUUUCGUGGGGGAUAACGUAGGGAAACUUACGCUAAUACCUCAUACGACCUACGGGUGAAAGCAGGGGAUCUUCGGACCUUGCGCGACUGAAUGAGCCGAUGUCGGAUUAGCUAGUUGGCGGGGUAAAGGCCCACCAAGGCGACGAUCCGUAGCUGGUCUGAGAGGAUGAUCAGCCACACUGGAACUGAGACACGGUCCAGACUCCUACGGGAGGCAGCAGUGGGGAAUAUUGGGCAAUGGGCGCAAGCCUGAUCCAGCCAUACCGCGUGGGUGAAGAAGGCCUUCGGGUUGUAAAGCCCUUUUGUUGGGAAAGAAAAGCAGCAGGUUAAUACCCCGCUGUUCUGACGGUACCCAAAGAAUAAGCACCGGCUAACUUCGUG
RNAcentral lists this ribosomal RNA (492 nucleotides) under uncultured bacterium. RNAcentral's name for it is "partial 16S ribosomal RNA". It matches the Rfam family "Bacterial small subunit ribosomal RNA", at positions 29 to 507 of the family's 1533-position model. The record is from RNAcentral.